RNAcentral lists this ribosomal RNA (759 nucleotides) under Osgoodomys banderanus (Michoacan deer mouse). RNAcentral's name for it is "partial 12S ribosomal RNA". It matches the Rfam family "Bacterial small subunit ribosomal RNA", at positions 273 to 1364 of the family's 1533-position model. Lineage: Eukaryota; Metazoa; Chordata; Mammalia; Rodentia; Cricetidae. The record is from RNAcentral.
GCAAAAAUCCGUAAACCAGUGUCAAAUCCCCUAAAACUUCAACCUAAGCUUAGGGAGAGGGCAUCAAGUACAUACAAAUAGCUACAGACGCCUUGCCUAGCCACGCCCCCACGGGACCCAGCAGUGAUAAAAAUUAAGCAAUGAACGAAAGUUUGACUAAGUUAUACCUCUCAAGGGUUGGUAAAUUUCGUGCCAGCCACCGCGGUCAUACGAUUAACCCAAAUUAAUUAUUAUACGGCGUAAAACGUGUUCAUAGGAAUAAAACUAAUAGAAUUAAAAACCAACCAAUAUGUGAAAAUUCAUCGUUGGGAUUAAAUUCAAUAACGAAAGUAAUUCUAAUCAACUUAAUACACGAUAGCUAAGAUCCAAACUGGGAUUAGAUACCCCACUAUGCUUAGCCUUAAACUUCAAUGAUUAAAUAACAAAAUCAUUUGCCUGAGAACUACUGGCUAUCGCUUAAAACUCAAAGGACUUGGCGGUACUUUAUAUCCGUCUAGAGGAGCCUGUUCUAUAAUCGAUACACCCCGUUAUACCUCACCAUCCCUUGCUAAUUCAGCCUAUAUACCGCCAUCUUCAGCAAACCUUAAAAAGGAAUAAAAGUAAGCAAGAGAAUUACCAUAAAAACGUUAGGUCAAGGUGUAGCUUAUGGAGUGGGAAGUAAUGAGCUACAUUUUCUUAAAAAGAACAUUACGAUACCCUUAUUGAAACAUAAGGGCAAAGGAGGAUUUAGUAGUAAAUUAAGAAUAGAGAGCUUAAUUG